Molecule: long non-coding RNA, 236 nt
Filed under: Elaeis guineensis (African oil palm)
Lineage: Eukaryota; Viridiplantae; Streptophyta; Magnoliopsida; Arecales; Arecaceae
Description: long non-coding RNA (EGUI_LNC051492)
Source: RNAcentral
CCCUAUCUACAUAGUAGUGAGUGUUAGAAAAUGAGUAGGGUUGCAUGCAUAGAUUUCAAAAUAAUUUUGAAUAGCAGUGAAAAUAGAUCUAGAUUAAACAUUUAAUCCCACAUGCAUAUCAAAUUGAAUACUACCUAUGCCCAGAUCUAAAACAUGCAUAUAAUCUAAAAAUUAAAAAUUAAAAAUAUUGAGAUCGGAUCUCAAUACCUUGCACAGAUCAAACUAUACUACAGUCG